Molecule: ribosomal RNA, 800 nt
Filed under: uncultured bacterium
Lineage: Bacteria
Description: bacterial SSU rRNA
Rfam family: Bacterial small subunit ribosomal RNA
Source: RNAcentral
AGAGUUUGAUCCUGGCUCAGGACGAACGCUGGCGGCGUGCUUAACACAUGCAAGUCGAGCGAUGAAGCCUCUUCGGAGGUGGAUUAGCGGCGGACGGGUGAGUAACACGUGGGCAACCUGCCUCAAAGUGGGGGAUAGCCUCCCGAAAGGGAGAUUAAUACCGCAUAAUAUUAGUUUUUCACAUGAAAGAUUAAUUAAAGGAGUAAUCCGCUUUGAGAUGGACCCGCGGCGCAUUAGCUAGUUGGUGAGGUAAAGGCUCACCAAGGCGACGAUGCGUAGCCGACCUGAGAGGGUGAUCGGCCACAUUGGAACUGAGACACGGUCCAGACUCCUACGGGAGGCAGCAGUGGGGAAUAUUGCACAAUGGGCGAAAGCCUGAUGCAGCAACGCCGCGUGAGUGAUGAAGGCCUUCGGGUUGUAAAGCUCUGUCUUUGGGGACGAUAAUGACGGUACUUGAGGAGGAAGCCCCGGCUAACUACGUGCCAGCAGCCGCGGUAAUACGUAGGGGGCUAGCGUUAUCCGGAUUUACUGGGCGUAAAGGGUGCGUAGGUGGUUUCUUAAGUCAGGAGUGAAAGGCUACGGCUCAACCGUAGUAAGCUCUUGAAACUGGGAAACUUGAGUGCAGGAGAGGAAAGUGGAAUUCCUAGUGUAGCGGUGAAAUGCGUAGAUAUUAGGAGGAACACCAGUAGCGAAGGCGGCUUUCUGGACUGUAACUGACACUGAGGCACGAAAGCGUGGGGAGCAAACAGGAUUAGAUACCCUGGUAGUCCACGCCGUAAACGAUGAGUACUAGGUGUCGG